CAAUAGCGUAUAUUAAAGUUGUUGCGGUUAAAAAGCUCGUAGUUGGAUUUCUGCUGAGAACGACCGGUCCGCCCUUUGGGUGUGUAUCUGGCUCUUUCUUGGCAUCUUCUUGGUGAACGUUGCUGCACUUGACUGUGUGGAGCGCUACCCAGGACUUUUACUUUGAGGAAAUUAGAGUGUUUCAAGCAGGCAUACGCCUUGAAUACAUUAGCAUGGAAUAAUAAGGUAGGACCUCGGUUCUAUUUUGUUGGUUUCUAGAGCUGAGGUAAUGAUUAAUAGGGAUAGUUGGGGGCAUUCGUAUUUAACUGUCAGAGGUGAAAUUCUUGGAUUUGUUAAAGACGGACUACUGCGAANGNAUUUGCNAAGGAUGUUUNCAUUG
This 379-nucleotide ribosomal RNA is filed under the name uncultured eukaryote. Its description in RNAcentral is "partial 18S ribosomal RNA". It matches the Rfam family "Eukaryotic small subunit ribosomal RNA", at positions 592 to 975 of the family's 1831-position model. The record is from RNAcentral.